Roseobacter sp. MED193 is the source of this 424-nucleotide non-coding RNA. NCBI's taxonomy places the organism in Bacteria, Pseudomonadati, Pseudomonadota, Alphaproteobacteria, Rhodobacterales, Roseobacteraceae. The record is from Rfam.
GCAGAAGGCUGGACGACCGCGCUAAGGGCUUGCCCCUUGCGAGGAAAGUCCGGACUCCCUAAAGCAACGGUGCCGGGUAACGCCCGGGCGGGGUAACUCGACGGAUAGCGCCACAGAAACAAACCGCCAUGCCGCGGGGGCCUUCGGGCAACCGUAUCCGGUUUGGUAAGGGUGAAACGGUGGGGUAAGAGCCCACCGCGCCGCUGGCAACAGGGGUGGCAAGGCAAGCCCCACCGGGAGCAAUGCCAAAUAGGGUCCCCGUGUGGGAGAGAGCGGCGUUGGCCGAUCUCGCCACUAGGCUUGCUUUAGCCGAGAGGGACCGGGUUGGCAGCUAGAGGUGCAUAGCAAUAUGUACCGCAGAGGAAUGGUCGUCUAAGGAGCGAAAGCUCUGGGACAAAAUCCGGCUUACAGGCCUUCUGCGCAU